GUCUUUUUGAUAAUAAUUUAAAGUCUAGCCUGCCCAAUGAAAAUUUAAUGGCCGCGGUAUUUUGACCGUGCAAAGGUAGCAUAAUCAUUAGUUUUUUAAUUGAAAGCUUGUAUGAAGGGCUGAACGAGAAAAUUACUGUCUCAAUUUUAUUUUAAAAGAAUUUUAUUUUUAAGUUAAAAAGCUUAAAUUUAUUUAAAAGACGAGAAGACCCUAUAGAGUUUAAUAUUUACUUAAUUUUUUAAAUAAUUUAUAAUUAUAAAAAUUUAACUAAAUAUUUUAUUGGGGUGAUAAAUAAAUUUACUAAACUUUAUUUAUUUUUUUACAUAAAUUUAUGAUUUAUUUGAUCCAAUGUUUUUGAUUAUAAGAUUAAAUUACCUUAGGGAUAACAGCGUAAUUUUUUUUGAGAGUUCUAAUCGAAAAAAAAGAUUGCGACCUCGAUGUUGGAUUAAAAUUUAUUUUUGGUGUAGAAGCUAAAAUAUUAAGUCUGUUCGACUUUUAAAAUUUUACAUGAUCUGAGUUUAAACCGGUGUGAGCCAGGUUGGUUUCUAUCUUUAAAAAAAAUAAAAUAUUUUAGUACGAAAGGACCUAAUAUUUAUAAUAUUUAUUAAUUUUUGAUUAU
Molecule: ribosomal RNA, 619 nt
Filed under: Ochthebius (Micragasma) sp. IBE AF116
Lineage: Eukaryota; Metazoa; Arthropoda; Insecta; Coleoptera; Hydraenidae
Description: Micragasma sp. IBE AF116 partial 16S ribosomal RNA
Rfam family: Bacterial large subunit ribosomal RNA
Source: RNAcentral